GAAAUGCGAUAAGUAAUGUGAAUUGCAGAAUUCAGUGAAUCAUCGAAUCUUUGAACGCACCUUGCGCUCCUUGGUAUUCCUUAGAGCAUGCCUGUUUUAGUAUCAUGCAAUCUUCAAAGUAAAUCUUUUGUUAACUCAAUUGGUUUCUACUUUGGUAUUGGAGGUCUUUGCAGCUUCACACCUGCUCCUCUUUGUUCAUUAGCUGGAUCUCAGUGUUAUGCUUGGUUCCACUCGGCGUGAUAAGUUAUCUAUCGCUGAGGACACUGUAAAAGGUGGCCAAGGUAAAUGCAGAUGAACCGCUUCUAAUAGUCCAUUGACUUGGACAAUACUUUUAUGAUCUGAUCUCAAAUCAGGUAGGACUACCCGCUGAACUUAAGC
Molecule: unclassified non-coding RNA, 378 nt
Filed under: plant metagenome
Description: partial contains 5.8S ribosomal RNA, internal transcribed spacer 2, and large subunit ribosomal RNA
Rfam family: 5.8S ribosomal RNA (bases 1-105)
Source: RNAcentral